GAUGAAGAACGCAGCGAAAUGCGAUAAGUAAUGUGAAUUGCAGAAUUCAGUGAAUCAUCGAAUCUUUGAACGCAUCUUGCGCUCCUUGGUAUUCCGAGGAGCAUGCCUGUUUGAGUGUCAUUUAACUUCUCAACCACAUUGGAUAUUUUUUUUCCGAUGCCGGCUUGGAUGUGGGGGUUGUUUGCAGGCUUUUUGUAACAAAAAAGGUCGGCUCCCCUGAAAUGUAUUAGUGGUAUCUGAGGCUAUUACUAGUAGGUGUGAUAAUUAUCUAUGCCUUUUGGGUAUGCCGCAUGAACAGAUUAUGCUGCUUCUAACGAAAACUAUUUUGAUGAAUUUGACCUCAAAUCAGGUAGGACUACCCGCUGAACUUAAGCAUAUCAAUAAGCGGAGGA
This 392-nucleotide unclassified non-coding RNA is filed under the name soil metagenome. RNAcentral describes it as "partial contains 5.8S ribosomal RNA, internal transcribed spacer 2, and large subunit ribosomal RNA". The stretch from base 1 to 120 matches the Rfam family "5.8S ribosomal RNA", at positions 35 to 154 of the family's 154-position model. The record is from RNAcentral.